RNAcentral lists this transfer RNA (72 nucleotides) under Candidatus Dojkabacteria bacterium. RNAcentral's name for it is "tRNA-Glu". It matches the Rfam family "tRNA". Rfam says of the family: Transfer RNA (tRNA) molecules are approximately 80 nucleotides in length. Their secondary structure includes four short double-helical elements and three loops (D, anti-codon, and T loops). The record is from RNAcentral.
GCCGCUAUCGUCUAACGGUUAGGACAACAGGUUUUCAACCUGUAAACCGGGGUUCGAUUCCCCGUAGCGGUA